RNAcentral lists this unclassified non-coding RNA (350 nucleotides) under soil metagenome. Its description in RNAcentral is "partial contains 5.8S ribosomal RNA, internal transcribed spacer 2, and large subunit ribosomal RNA". The stretch from base 1 to 120 matches the Rfam family "5.8S ribosomal RNA", at positions 35 to 154 of the family's 154-position model. The record is from RNAcentral.
GAUGAAGAACGUAGCGAAAUGCGAUAAGUAAUGUGAAUUGCAGAAUUCAGUGAAUCAUCGAAUCUUUGAACGCACAUUGCGCCCGCCAGUGUUCUGGCGGGCAUGCCUGUUCGAGCGUCAUUUCAACCCUCAAGCCCAGCUUGGUGUUGGGGAUCGGCACAGGCGCCCUCGGGCGCCCGCCGUCCCCUAAAUCUAGUGGCGGUCCCGCUGCAGCCUCCUCUGCGUAGUAGUUUUCUCCUCGCAAGGGCAGCUCGGUGGCGACCUCGCCGUAAAACCCCCAACUUCUGAAAGGUUGACCUCGAAUCAGGUAGGAAUACCCGCUGAACUUAAGCAUAUCAAUAAGCGGAGGA